UACAUCUUCUCCGCGGAAGCUC
Molecule: microRNA, 22 nt
Filed under: Brassica rapa (field mustard)
Lineage: Eukaryota; Viridiplantae; Streptophyta; Magnoliopsida; Brassicales; Brassicaceae
Description: bra-miR1885b
Source: miRBase by way of RNAcentral